AUUGAACGCUGGCGGCAGGCCUAACACAUGCAAGUCGAGCGGAUGAAGGGAGCUUGCUCCUGGAUUCAGCGGCGGACGGGUGAGUAAUGCCUAGGAAUCUGCCUGGUAGUGGGGGAUAACGUCCGGAAACGGGCGCUAGUACCGCAUACGUCCUGAGGGAGAAAGUGGGGGAUCUUCGGACCUCACGCUAUCAGAUGAGCCUAGGUCGGAUUAGCUAGUUGGUGGGGUAAAGGCCUACCAAGGCGACGAUUCGUAACUGGUCUGAGAGGAUGAUCAGUCACACUGGAACUGAGACACGGUCCAGACUCCUACGGGAGGCAGCAGUGGGGAAUAUUGGACAAUGGGCGAAAGCCUGAUCCAGCCAUGCCGCGUGUGUGAAGAAGGUCUUCGGAUUGUAAAGCACUUUAAGUUGGGAGGAAGGGCAGUAAGUUAAUACCUUGCUGUUUUGACGUUACCAACAGAAUAAGCACCGGCUAACUUCGUG
Molecule: ribosomal RNA, 484 nt
Filed under: uncultured bacterium
Lineage: Bacteria
Description: partial 16S ribosomal RNA
Rfam family: Bacterial small subunit ribosomal RNA
Source: RNAcentral